Molecule: transfer RNA, 66 nt
Filed under: Tagasta indica
Lineage: Eukaryota; Metazoa; Arthropoda; Insecta; Orthoptera; Pyrgomorphidae
Description: tRNA-Asp
Source: RNAcentral
AAGAAAUUAGUUAAAUUUAUAACAUUAGAGUGUCAAACUAAAAUUACUCUUCAUAAGUAUUUCUUA